Molecule: ribosomal RNA, 133 nt
Filed under: Shigella sp. FC1967
Lineage: Bacteria; Pseudomonadati; Pseudomonadota; Gammaproteobacteria; Enterobacterales; Enterobacteriaceae
Description: partial 23S ribosomal RNA
Rfam family: Bacterial large subunit ribosomal RNA
Source: RNAcentral
GGGUUGUGAGGUUAAGCGAAUAAGCGUACACGGUGGAUGCCUAGGCAAUCAGAGGCGAUGAAGGACGUGCUAAUCUGCGAUAAGCGUCGGUAAGGUGAUAUGAACCGUUAUACCCGACGAUUUCCGAAUGGGG